AAGACUUUGCCGGAUUAGCUGAGAGGUGGUGCAUGGCCGUCGUCAGUUCGUACUGUGAAGCAUCCUGUUAAGUCAGGCAACGAGCGAGACCCACGCCCACAGUUGCCAGCGUACUCUCUGGAGUGACGGGUACACUGUGGGGACCGCCGCUGCUAAAGCGGAGGAAGGAAUGGGCAACGGUAGGUCAGUAUGCCCCGAAUAUCCCGGGCUACACGCGAGCUACAAUGGUUGGUACAAUGGGUAUCUACCCCGAAAGGGGACGGGAAUCUCCUAAAACCAAUCUUAGUUCGGAUUGAGGGCUGCAACUCGCCCUCAUGAAGCUGGAAUCCGUAGUAAUCGCGUUUCAACAGAACGCGGUGAAUACGUCCCUGCUCCUU
RNAcentral lists this ribosomal RNA (377 nucleotides) under uncultured Methanosaeta sp. RNAcentral's name for it is "bacterial SSU rRNA". It matches the Rfam family "Archaeal small subunit ribosomal RNA", at positions 962 to 1338 of the family's 1478-position model. Lineage: Archaea; Methanobacteriati; Methanobacteriota; Methanomicrobia; Methanotrichales; Methanotrichaceae. The record is from RNAcentral.